CUUGCUCUCUGAUUUUAGCGGCGGACGGGUGAGUAACACGUGGGCAACCUGCCCUACAGAUGGGGAUAACUCCGGGAAACCGGGGCUAAUACCGAAUAAUCAGUUUGUCCGCAUGGACAAACUCUGAAAGACGGUUUCGGCUGUCACUGUAGGAUGGGCCCGCGGCGCAUUAGCUAGUUGGUGGGGUAAUGGCCUACCAAGGCGACGAUGCGUAGCCGACCUGAGAGGGUGAUCGGCCACACUGGGACUGAGACACGGCCCAGACUCCUACGGGAGGCAGCAGUAGGGAAUCUUCCACAAUGGACGAAAGUCUGAUGGAGCAAUGCCGCGUGAGCGAAGAAGGUUUUCGGAUCGUAAAGCUCUGUUGUAAGGGAAGAACACGUACGGGAGUAACUGCCCGUGCCAUGACGGUACCUUAUUAGAAAGCCACGGCUAACUACGUGCCAGCAGCCGCGGUAAUACGUAGGUGGCAAGCGUUGUCCGGAAUUAUUGGGCGUAAAGCGCGCGCAGGCGGUUCUUUAAGUCUGAUGUGAAAGCCCACGGCUCAACCGUGGAGGGUCAUUGGAAACUGGAGAACUUGAGUACAGAAGAGGAAAGCGGAAUUCCACGUGUAGCGGUGAAAUGCGUAGAGAUGUGG
This 637-nucleotide ribosomal RNA is filed under the name Sporosarcina globispora. RNAcentral describes it as "bacterial SSU rRNA". It matches the Rfam family "Bacterial small subunit ribosomal RNA", at positions 79 to 701 of the family's 1533-position model. Lineage: Bacteria; Bacillati; Bacillota; Bacilli; Caryophanales; Caryophanaceae. The record is from RNAcentral.